GAAUCUAGCUCCCGUUAUAAAAAUGGAAUCGGGAAGAACAUUUACGAUCGGGCUAUUUAGCGAUGACGAUGCGAGGUAGCCAGCCGAUUCAUUUAAAAAGAAUCCGCUAUGUUUGGGGACCAAAACAAAGCUGACUUUCUACAAAUUAUGUGGGACAAGAGUCGAAAAUAUAUUCGACAGGUGUAACCGGUUGUUAGAAGUUAGAUGUGAACAAGCCGAAAGCGCGUCAGUGACAAGGAAUUCCAAGGAAUAUAGGAGUGUACUCGGCGAGAGAGUGAACAAAAGACCAGUUAAGCUGAUUUGGAGAGAUGCCAACACCAGGCUUCUCUAAAUUUUGCGUUGCGUCCGUUGAAAUCAAGUGAGACGGAAGUUGAUUGCGAUGAUCUUGAAGGAGACCAAGUAUGUGCCCAGGAAGAAGUUUUGCACGUUUUGAAAAAAAAUAUGUCAAAAAUCGGUCUUACCUUGAACGAAUAGGAUUUUGGAGAAAUUGGGUUCGGUAGAUGAACUUAGCUUUAAUAACAGCCACUGAACAAAAACGGCUUGUGGCUGUCGGUAACGCCGCCGACCUGUCAUGAAAAGUAAUUAGGGAGAAUUUAUGAAAAAGGGCUUGAAAUUAUGUUUAUUUCCAUAUUAUACACAAGUAACAAACACUUGUCGAACCAAAGGCUAUAGUUGAAGGUCCAAUAAAUAAAUAUAAUGGAAAUCCUAGCACAGCAAGGAAUAAAGAGCAGUAGUAGUUGUAUAUACAAGGUUGUUGAUAACUUCACAAAUGGGAGAGGGAUGUGUCGUAAACUUCAGGAAGGUCAGGAUGGUAAGUUGCUUAAAUCUGGAUCCCAGGCUCCAGAUAAAGCACAUUGUUAGCCACUAAACUUUGCAGCCCAAGGCAGAGGCGUAGCGCAUGCCUUUCCAGUACUAUUAAAGGUCCUAGCUUCUGUGCUGCACAUCCUGGAAAAAGAAAAA
This is a long non-coding RNA of Dermacentor andersoni, 960 nucleotides long. RefSeq lists it as uncharacterized. NCBI's taxonomy places the organism in Eukaryota, Metazoa, Arthropoda, Arachnida, Ixodida, Ixodidae. The record is from RefSeq and is a predicted model, not a curated record.